This 253-nucleotide ribosomal RNA is filed under the name uncultured bacterium. RNAcentral describes it as "partial 16S ribosomal RNA". It matches the Rfam family "Bacterial small subunit ribosomal RNA", at positions 524 to 776 of the family's 1533-position model. The record is from RNAcentral.
UACGUAGGGUGCGAGCGUUAAUCGGAAUUACUGGGCGUAAAGCGUGCGCAGGCGGCUUUGUAAGACAGAUGUGAAAUCCCCGGGCUCAACCUGGGAACUGCAUUUGUGACUGCAAGGCUAGAGUGCGUCAGAGGGAGGUGGAAUUCCGCGUGUAGCAGUGAAAUGCGUAGAGAUGCGGAGGAACACCGAUGGCGAAGGCAGCCUCCUGGGAUGACACUGACGCUCAUGCACGAAAGCGUGGGGAGCAAACAGG